CCUACGGGUGGCUGCAGUGAGGAAUAUUGGUCAAUGGACGAGAGUCUGAACCAGCCAAGUAGCGUGAAGGAUGACUGCCCUAUGGGUUGUAAACUUCUUUUAUAUGGGAAUAAAAUGUUCCACGUGUGGGAUUUUGUAUGUACCAUAUGAAUAAGGAUCGGCUAACUCCUUGCCAGCAGCCGCGGUAAUACGGAGGAUCCGAGCGUUAUCCGGAUUUAUUGGGUUUAAAGGGAGCGUAGGUGGAUUGUUAAGUCAGUUGUGAAAGUUUGCGGCUCAACCGUAAAAUUGCAGUUGAAACUGGCAGUCUUGAGUACAGUAGAGGUGGGCGGAAUGCGUGGUGUAGCGGUGAAAUGCUUAGAUAUCACGAAGAACUCCGAUUGCGAAGGCAGUUCACUGGACUGCAACUGACACGGAGGCUCGAAAGUGUGGGUAUCAAACAGGAUUAGAUACCCUGGUAGUC
RNAcentral lists this ribosomal RNA (460 nucleotides) under uncultured bacterium. Its description in RNAcentral is "partial 16S ribosomal RNA". It matches the Rfam family "Bacterial small subunit ribosomal RNA", at positions 338 to 795 of the family's 1533-position model. The record is from RNAcentral.